RNAcentral lists this transfer RNA (117 nucleotides) under Laccaria amethystina LaAM-08-1. It matches the Rfam family "tRNA". From Rfam's summary of the family: Transfer RNA (tRNA) molecules are approximately 80 nucleotides in length. Their secondary structure includes four short double-helical elements and three loops (D, anti-codon, and T loops). The record is from Rfam by way of RNAcentral. Lineage: Eukaryota; Fungi; Basidiomycota; Agaricomycetes; Agaricales; Hydnangiaceae.
GGUGAGAUGGCCGAGCGGUCUAAGGCGCCAGACUAAGGAUCAGGACAUUUGAUGUCUAACUUGCGAAUUUCGUAUAUCUGGUCCUCCGGGGCGUGGGUUCGAAUCCCACUCUCAUCA